GUCGAGCGACGCACGCCGGAGGGGUAACCCAUCGGCAUGACGGAGCGGCGAACGGGUGAGUAACACGUGAGCAACCUGCCCCACAGAUCGGGAUAGCCCAGGGAAACCUGGAUUAAUACCGGAUGCCCUCGGAGGAUCGCAUGUUCCAUCGAGGAAACGCAUCGUGCUGUGGGAUGGGCUCGCGGCUUAUCAGCUAGUUGGUGGGGUAACGGCCUACCAAGGCAUCGACGAGUAGCUGGUCUGAGAGGACGAUCAGCCACACUGGGACUGAGACACGGCCCAGACUCCUACGGGAGGCAGCAGCAGGGAAUUUUGCGCAAUGGACGAAAGUCUGACGCAGCAACGCCGCGUGGGGGAUGAAGGCCUUCGGGUUGUAACCCCUUUCGGAGGGAAGAACUGACGGUCCCCCAGAAGAACACCGGCCAACUACGUGCCAGCAGCCGCGGUAAUACGUAGGGUGCGAGCGUUAUCCGGAAUCAUUGGGCGUAAGAGCUCGUAGGCGGUUCAGCAAGUCGGCUGUGAUAGUCCGAGGCUCACCUCGGAAUUGCAGUCGAUACUGCUGUGACUCGAGUCCGGUAGAGGAGAACGGAAUUCCGGUGUACGGUGGAUGCGCAGAUAUCGGGAGGACACCAGUAGCGAGGCGGUCUCUGGCCGGCAUGACCUCAGAGCAAAACCUGGGGAGCCCACAGGAUAGAUACCCUGUAGUCCCGCUGUAACGUUGGAACUAGUGUGGGGGUCUAUCACGACUGCGUGCCGAACUACGCAUGAGUUCCCGCCUGGGAGUCCGCCCCAGGUUAACUCAAUGCAUUGACGG
This 814-nucleotide ribosomal RNA is filed under the name uncultured Actinomycetes bacterium. RNAcentral describes it as "bacterial SSU rRNA". It matches the Rfam family "Bacterial small subunit ribosomal RNA", at positions 61 to 916 of the family's 1533-position model. The record is from RNAcentral. Lineage: Bacteria; Bacillati; Actinomycetota; Actinomycetes.